Long non-coding RNA from Pollicipes pollicipes, 283 nucleotides. RefSeq lists it as uncharacterized. The record is from RefSeq and is a predicted model, not a curated record. The transcript has 3 exons. NCBI's taxonomy places the organism in Eukaryota, Metazoa, Arthropoda, Thecostraca, Pollicipedomorpha, Pollicipedidae.
CCCAGGUUAGGCCGGCUUGUUUCGCGGCUGCGUUGGUUUACGAGAAGAGGUCCUGACAGAUCCGUGGCUGAGGUUGUCCCAACCCCAGCACACUGCCUGUGACCGUGGAGACCGAGAACCGCUGCUCCCCCGCUCAGGCGGCCAUGCAAGACUGGAGGAAAGCUGUCUUCCAAACUCCCCUCACAUACAAAAUGGGCAACUCGACGGUGCGCCUACAGAGCCGCGUGGUGGCUGGUCUGGUGGUGACGGCGGCGGUGGUGCUGCUGUACCUGCUGCUGCAGCG